UCUGCCUCUCUUUUUCCUUGAUGGACAUGCAUCACCGGGACAACCUCCCAUCUUUUGUUAUAGAAAGAUCGCUAAUAUAAACAGGGUUUAGUAAUUCUUGUUUCGAAAACAAGUGGAAGUCUUGAUAUCUAAGAAACAUUAAUAUACUAUUAGAUGAAUAAAUUGCUGAUAGUCAUUAUGUACCAAUAGGUAAGACAGAUUAUCAUAUCGUAUCUCUACUCAUAUGCCAC
RNAcentral lists this long non-coding RNA (230 nucleotides) under Elaeis guineensis (African oil palm). RNAcentral's name for it is "long non-coding RNA (EGUI_LNC051836)". The record is from RNAcentral. Lineage: Eukaryota; Viridiplantae; Streptophyta; Magnoliopsida; Arecales; Arecaceae.